UAAGGUGUAGUUUAUAUAGAAUUUAAGCUUUGGGAGUUUAUGGAGCAUGGUUUGUCACUUUAA
This 63-nucleotide transfer RNA is filed under the name Villorita cyprinoides. RNAcentral's name for it is "tRNA-Pro". The record is from RNAcentral. Lineage: Eukaryota; Metazoa; Mollusca; Bivalvia; Venerida; Cyrenidae.